This 489-nucleotide ribosomal RNA is filed under the name uncultured Lachnospiraceae bacterium. RNAcentral's name for it is "bacterial SSU rRNA". It matches the Rfam family "Bacterial small subunit ribosomal RNA", at positions 8 to 507 of the family's 1533-position model. The record is from RNAcentral. Lineage: Bacteria; Bacillati; Bacillota; Clostridia; Lachnospirales; Lachnospiraceae.
AGAGUUUGAUCCUGGCUCAGGAUGAACGCUGGCGGCGUGCCUAACACAUGCAAGUCGAACGGAUUUAUAACGAAACCUAGUGAAUUAUAAGUUAGUGGCGGACGGGUGAGUAACGCGUGGAAAACCUGCCGUAUACUGGGGGAUAACACUUAGAAAUAGGUGCUAAUACCGCAUAAGCGCACAGCUUCGCAUGAAGCAGUGUGAAAAACUCCGGUGGUAUACGAUGGUUCCGCGUCUGAUUAGCUAGUUGGUGAGGUAAAAGCCCACCAAGGCAACGAUCAGUAGCCGGCCUGAGAGGGUGAACGGCCACAUUGGGACUGAGACACGGCCCAGACUCCUACGGGAGGCAGCAGUGGGGGAUAUUGCACAAUGGGGGAAACCCUGAUGCAGCGACGCCGCGUGAGUGAAGAAGUAUUUCGGUACGUAAAGCUCUAUCAGCAGGGAAGAAAAAUGACGGUACCUGACUAAGAAGCCCCGGCUAACUACGUG